This 460-nucleotide ribosomal RNA is filed under the name uncultured bacterium. RNAcentral describes it as "partial 16S ribosomal RNA". It matches the Rfam family "Bacterial small subunit ribosomal RNA", at positions 338 to 795 of the family's 1533-position model. The record is from RNAcentral.
CCUACGUGAGGAUGCAGUGAGGAAUAUUGGUCAAUGGACGAGAGUCGGAACCAGCCAAGUAGCGUGAAGGAUGACUGCCCUAUGGGUUGUAAACUUCUUUUAUAUGGGAAUAAAAUGUUCCACGUGUGGGAUUUUGUAUGUACCAUAUGAAUAAGGAUCGGCUAACUCGGGGCCAGCAGCCGUGGUAAUACGGAGGAUCCGAGCGUUAUCCGGGUUGAUUGGGGUUAAAGGGAGCGUAGGUGGAUUGUUAAGUCAGUUGGGAAAGUUUGCGGCUCAACCGUAAAAUUGCAGUUGAAACUGGCAGUCUUGAGUACAGUAGAGGUGGGCGGAAUUCGUGGUGUAGCGGUGAAAUGCUUAGAUAUCACGAAGAACUCCGAUUGCGAAGGCAGCUCACUGGACUGCAACUGACACUGAGGCUCGAAAGUGUGGGUAUCAAACAGGAUUAGAUACCCUAGUAGUC